UUUCCGUAGGUGAACCUGCGGAAGGAUCAUUGUAGGAUUGUUUUGGGAGGGGUGGCUGUGAUUUGUGGGGAUUGUGUGUGGUUGUUUGGAUUGCUUGGAUUGCCUGGCUGUCUGCAACUCGACUCGUCUCAUCACAACCACUCUUUACAUUGGCACAGACCAGUGGUCUGGUGUUUGGAGCAACAGACCAGUGGUGUCUGAUGUUUGCGCUUGCUCGUUUGACAGAAACAGUACCAUAUCAUUGCAAAACUUUUAACAAUGGAUCUCUUGGCUCUU
Molecule: unclassified non-coding RNA, 276 nt
Filed under: plant metagenome
Description: partial contains small subunit ribosomal RNA, internal transcribed spacer 1, and 5.8S ribosomal RNA
Source: RNAcentral